UACGUAGGUCACGAACGUUAUUCGGAAUCACUGGGCUUAAAGGGCGCGUAGGCGGCUCAGAAAGUAGAGGUUGAAAUCCGGCGGCUCACCCGUCGAACUGGUCUCUAAACUACUGGGCUGGAGUCAUGGAGGGGUGCGUGGAACUUGUGGUGGAGCGGUGAAAUGCUCAGAUAUCACAGGGAACACCGGUGGCGAAGGCGACGCACUGGCCAUGUACUGACGCUGAGGCGCGAAAGCCAGGGGAGCGAACGGG
RNAcentral lists this ribosomal RNA (253 nucleotides) under uncultured bacterium. RNAcentral's name for it is "partial 16S ribosomal RNA". It matches the Rfam family "Bacterial small subunit ribosomal RNA", at positions 524 to 776 of the family's 1533-position model. The record is from RNAcentral.